Molecule: ribosomal RNA, 253 nt
Filed under: uncultured bacterium
Lineage: Bacteria
Description: partial 16S ribosomal RNA
Rfam family: Bacterial small subunit ribosomal RNA
Source: RNAcentral
UACGUAGGGGGCAAGCGUUGUUCGGAUUCACUGGGCGUAAAGGGUGCGUAGGCGGUCGGGUAAGUCUGAUGUGAAAUCUCACAGCUUAACUGUGAAACUGCAUUGGAUACUAUUCGGCUAGAGAGUUGGAGGGGGGACUGGAAUUCUUGGUGUAGCAGUGAAAUGCGUAGAUAUCAAGAGGAACACCGGUGGCGAAGGCGGCUUCCUGGACAAAAACUGACGCUGAGGCGCGAAAGCUAGGGGAGCAAACAGG